GCACUACUGAGGAGUCCCACAACAGGACGAAACGGCCGUUCAGUGC
RNAcentral lists this non-coding RNA (46 nucleotides) under Schistosoma margrebowiei. Lineage: Eukaryota; Metazoa; Platyhelminthes; Trematoda; Strigeidida; Schistosomatidae. The record is from RNAcentral.